UGGUAACGUCGGUGCCGCGGCGGGUGUGAUUCGAAGGGUGAGAUCGUUAGUUGUAAGUCCUUUGAUGAGAGCUUGGGUAGGCGGGUCUUUAAGUCUGGGGUGAAAUCGCCGGGGUCAACCUGGGAAUGGCAGGUGAGACUGGGGAGCUAGAGUGUGUUAGAGGAUGGUGGAAUUCCCGGUGUAGCGGUGAAAUGCGUAGAGAUCGGGGGGAACAUCAGUGGCGAAGGCGGCCAUCUGGAUCAACACUGACGCUGAGGCACGAAAGCGUGGGGAGCAAACAGGAUUAGAUACCCGGGUAGUC
This 301-nucleotide ribosomal RNA is filed under the name uncultured Treponema sp. RNAcentral describes it as "bacterial SSU rRNA". It matches the Rfam family "Bacterial small subunit ribosomal RNA", at positions 495 to 795 of the family's 1533-position model. Lineage: Bacteria; Pseudomonadati; Spirochaetota; Spirochaetia; Treponematales; Treponemataceae. The record is from RNAcentral.